Molecule: ribosomal RNA, 253 nt
Filed under: uncultured bacterium
Lineage: Bacteria
Description: partial 16S ribosomal RNA
Rfam family: Bacterial small subunit ribosomal RNA
Source: RNAcentral
GACGUAGGGGGCGAGCGUUGUCCGGAUUUAUUGGGCGUAAAGAGCUCGUAGGCGGUCCGGUAAGUCGGUUGUGAAAACUGGGGGCUCAACCCUCAGAGGCCGACCGAUACUGCCGGGCUAGAGUCCGGAAGAGGCGAGUGGAAUUCCUGGUGUAGCGGUGAAAUGCGCAGAUAUCAGGAGGAACACCAAUGGCGAAGGCAGCUCGCUGGGACGGUACUGACGCUGAGGCGCGAAAGCGUGGGGAGCAAACAGG